RNAcentral lists this ribosomal RNA (1671 nucleotides) under Escherichia coli. RNAcentral's name for it is "partial 23S ribosomal RNA". It matches the Rfam family "Bacterial large subunit ribosomal RNA", at positions 1 to 1716 of the family's 2925-position model. Lineage: Bacteria; Pseudomonadati; Pseudomonadota; Gammaproteobacteria; Enterobacterales; Enterobacteriaceae. The record is from RNAcentral.
GGUUAAGCGACUAAGCGUACACGGUGGAUGCCCUGGCAGUCAGAGGCGAUGAAGGACGUGCUAAUCUGCGAUAAGCGUCGGUGAGGUGAUAUGAACCGUUAUAACCGGCGAUUUCCGAAUGGGGAAACCCAGUGUGUUUCGACACACUAUCAUUAACUGAAUCCAUAGGUUAAUGAGGCGAACCGGGGGAACUGAAACAUCUAAGUACCCCGAGGAAAAGAAAUCAACCGAGAUUCCCCCAGUAGCGGCGAGCGAACGGGGAGGAGCCCAGAGCCUGAAUCAGUGUGUGUGUUAGUGGAAGCGUCUGGAAAGGCGUGCGAUACAGGGUGACAGCCCCGUACACAAAAAUGCACAUAUUGUGAGCUCGAUGAGUAGGGCGGGACACGUGGUAUCCUGUCUGAAUAUGGGGGGACCAUCCUCCAAGGCUAAAUACUCCUGACUGACCGAUAGUGAACCAGUACCGUGAGGGAAAGGCGAAAAGAACCCCGGCGAGGGGAGUGAAAAAGAACCUGAAACCGUGUACGUACAAGCAGUGGGAGCCUCUUAAUGGGGUGACUGCGUACCUUUUGUAUAAUGGGUCAGCGACUUAUAUUCUGUAGCAAGGUUAACCGAAUAGGGGAGCCGAAGGGAAACCGAGUCUUAACUGGGCGUUAAGUUGCAGGGUAUAGACCCGAAACCCGGUGAUCUAGCCAUGGGCAGGUUGAAGGUUGGGUAACACUAACUGGAGGACCGAACCGACUAAUGUUGAAAAAUUAGCGGAUGACUUGUGGCUGGGGGUGAAAGGCCAAUCAAACCGGGAGAUAGCUGGUUCUCCCCGAAAGCUAUUUAGGUAGCGCCUCGUGAAUUCAUCUCCGGGGGUAGAGCACUGUUUCGGCAAGGGGGUCAUCCCGACUUACCAACCCGAUGCAAACUGCGAAUACCGGAGAAUGUUAUCACGGGAGACACACGGCGGGUGCUAACGUCCGUCGUGAAGAGGGAAACAACCCAGACCGCCAGCUAAGGUCCCAAAGUCAUGGUUAAGUGGGAAACGAUGUGGGAAGGCCCAGACAGCCAGGAUGUUGGCUUAGAAGCAGCCAUCAUUUAAAGAAAGCGUAAUAGCUCACUGGUCGAGUCGGCCUGCGCGGAAGAUGUAACGGGGCUAAACCAUGCACCGAAGCUGCGGCAGCGACACUAUGUGUUGUUGGGUAGGGGAGCGUUCUGUAAGCCUGUGAAGGUGGCCUGUGAGGGUUGCUGGAGGUAUCAGAAGUGCGAAUGCUGACAUAAGUAACGAUAAAGCGGGUGAAAAGCCCGCUCGCCGGAAGACCAAGGGUUCCUGUCCAACGUUAAUCGGGGCAGGGUGAGUCGACCCCUAAGGCGAGGCCGAAAGGCGUAGUCGAUGGGAAACAGGUUAAUAUUCCUGUACUUGGUGUUACUGCGAAGGGGGGACGGAGAAGGCUAUGUUGGCCGGGCGACGGUUGUCCCGGUUUAAGCGUGUAGGCUGGUUUUCCAGGCAAAUCCGGAAAACCAAGGCUGAGGCGUGAUGACGAGGCACUACGGUGCUGAAGCGACAAAUGCCCUGCUUCCAGGAAAAGCCUCUAAGCAUCAGGUAACAUCAAAUCGUACCCCAAACCGACACAGGUGGUCAGGUAGAGAAUACCAAGGCGCUUGAGAGAACUCGGGUGAAGGAACUAG